AACGAACGCUGGCGGCAGGCCUAACACAUGCAAGUCGAGCGAGGACUUCGGUUCUAGCGGCGGACGGGUGAGUAACGCGUGGGAAUGUGCCCUUCUCUACGGAAUAGCCCUGGGAAACUGGGAGUAAUACCGUAUACGCCCUUUUGGGGAAAGAUUUAUCGGAGAAGGAUCAGCCCGCGUUGGAUUAGGUAGUUGGUGGGGUAAUGGCCUACCAAGCCGACGAUCCAUAGCUGGUUUGAGAGGAUGAUCAGCCACACUGGGACUGAGACACGGCCCAGACCCCCACGGAGGGAAGCAGGGGGGAUUUUUAAAAAAGGGGGGAACCCUUAACAAACCCUGGCGGGGGGAGGAUAAAGGCCUUGGGGGUUGAAAAGCUCUUUCGGCUGGAAAGAAAAGCGGGAACCCAGAAAAAGAACCCCGCCCAACCCCCGCC
This 433-nucleotide ribosomal RNA is filed under the name uncultured bacterium. Its description in RNAcentral is "partial 16S ribosomal RNA". It matches the Rfam family "Bacterial small subunit ribosomal RNA", at positions 29 to 509 of the family's 1533-position model. The record is from RNAcentral.